AAAUAUUCCUGUACCGGCACUAACUGCGAUGGGAGGACGGAGAAGGCUAGGACAGCAACCUAUUGGAUGGUUGUUUAAGCGUUUAGGUGGGAUUCUUAGGCAAAUCCGGGAAUCUAUUAACACUGAGGCGUGAUGACGAGGUACUACGGUACUGAAGUGUUUGAUGCCCUGCUUCCAAGAAAAGUCCCUAAGCUUCAGGUUAGUGCUGACCGUACCCCAAACCGACACAGGUGGGCUGGAUGAGAAUUCCAAGGCGCUUGAGAGAACUCGGAUGAAGGAACUAGGCAAAAUGGUACCGUAACUUCGGGAGAAGGUACGCCCACGCAAGUGGGCCGCAGAGACCAGGCCGCUGCGACUGUUUAUCAAAAACACAGCACUCUGCAAACUCGAAAGAGGACGUAUAGGGUGUGACGCCUGCCCGGUGCCUGAAGGUUAAUUGAUGGGGUUAGCGCAAGCGAAGCUCUUGAUCGAAGCCCCGGUAAACGGCGGCCGUAACGAUAACGGUCCUAAGGUAGCGAAAUUCCUUGUCGGGUAAGUUCCGACCUGCACGAAUGGCGUAACGAUGGCGGCACUGUCUCCAUCCGAGACUCAGUGAAAUUGAAAUCGCUGUGAAGAUGCAGUGUACCCGCGGCUAGACGGAAAGACCCCGCGAACCUUUACUAUAGCUUUGUAUUGAACUUUGAACCUACUUGUGUAGGAUAGGUGGGAGACUAUGAAACUGGAACGCCAGUUCUGGUGGAGUCGUCCUUGAAAUACCACCCUGGUAUGUUCGGAGUUCUAACCCAGGCAUCACAAUGCCGGGGACAAUACAUGGUGGGUAGUUUGACUGGGGCGGUCUCCUCCUAAAGAGUAACGGAGGAGCGCGAAGGUGUGCUAAUCACGGUCGGAAAUCGUGAGGUUUGUGUAAAGGCAUAAGCACGCUUGACUGCGAGACAGACAAGUCGAGCAGGUACGAAAGUAGGUCUUAGUGAUCCGGUGGCUCUGAAUGGAAGGGCCAUCGCUCAACGGAUAAAAGGUACUCCGGGGAUAACAGGCUGAUUCCUCCCAAGAGUCCAUAUCGACGGGGGAGUUUGGCACCUCGAUGUCGGCUCAUCACAUCCUGGGGCUGAAGCAGGUCCCAAGGGUAUGGCUGUUCGCCAUUUAAAGUGGUACGCGAGCUGGGUUCAGAACGUCGUGAGACAGUUCGGUCCCUAUCUGCCGUGGGCGUUGGAGAUUUGAGGGAAGCUGACCUUAGUACGAGAGGACCGGGUUGGACGAACCUCUGGUGUUCCUGUUGUCACGCCAGUGGCAUUGCAGGGUAGCUAUGUUCGGACGGGAUAACCGCUGAAAGCAUCUAAGCGGGAAGCCCCUCCCAAGAUGAGAUCUCCCUGACCCCUUGAGGGUCCUAAAGGGCCGUUGGAGACUACGACGUUGAUAGGCUGGGUGUGGAAGUGCAGUAAUGUAUGUAGCUAACCAGUACUAAUUGCCCGUGAGGCUUGAUCCU
This 1483-nucleotide ribosomal RNA is filed under the name metagenome. Its description in RNAcentral is "bacterial LSU rRNA". It matches the Rfam family "Bacterial large subunit ribosomal RNA", at positions 1431 to 2925 of the family's 2925-position model. The record is from RNAcentral.